GAUGAGGAUAUGAUGAUGGUUAUUACAAGCACACAUCUUAAAUAAAUGUGUGGAAAAGUCAACUUCUGAAUAUCCUCUUG
This is a small nucleolar RNA of Betta splendens (Siamese fighting fish), 80 nucleotides long. RefSeq annotates it as small nucleolar RNA SNORD121A. The transcript has a single exon. The record is from RefSeq and is a predicted model, not a curated record. NCBI's taxonomy places the organism in Eukaryota, Metazoa, Chordata, Actinopteri, Anabantiformes, Osphronemidae.